Molecule: signal recognition particle RNA, 99 nt
Filed under: Treponema sp.
Lineage: Bacteria; Pseudomonadati; Spirochaetota; Spirochaetia; Treponematales; Treponemataceae
Description: signal recognition particle sRNA small type
Rfam family: Bacterial small signal recognition particle RNA
About the family: The signal recognition particle (SRP) is a universally conserved ribonucleoprotein involved in the co-translational targeting of proteins to membranes. Archaeal SRP consists of a 7S RNA and homologues of the eukaryotic SRP19 and SRP54 proteins.
Source: RNAcentral
GUCUAGAUGCUUUGCACAUUUCUGCCAGAAAACCCCGCCAGAUCCGGAAGGAAGCAACGGUAUUUGGUUUGAAGUGGUGCCGAAGAUUAUCUAGGCUCU